Molecule: ribosomal RNA, 490 nt
Filed under: uncultured bacterium
Lineage: Bacteria
Description: partial 16S ribosomal RNA
Rfam family: Bacterial small subunit ribosomal RNA
Source: RNAcentral
AUUGAACGCUGGCGGCAGGCCUAACACAUGCAAGUCGAACGGUAACAGGAAGCAGCUUGCUGCUUUGCUGACGAGUGGCGGACGGGUGAGUAAUGUCUGGGAAACUGCCCGAUGGAGGGGGAUAACUACUGGAAACGGUAGCUAAUACCGCAUAACGUCGCAAGACCAAAGAGGGGGCCCUUAGGGCCUCUUGCCAUCGGUUUGGCCCAGAGGGGAUUAGCUAGUAGGUGGGGUAACGGCUCACCUAGGCGACGAUCCCUAGCUGGUCUGAGAGGAUGACCAGCCACACUGGAACUGAGACACGGUCCAGACUCCUACGGGAGGCAGCAGUGGGGAAUAUUGCACAAUGGGCGCAAGCCUGAUGCAGCCAUGCCGCGUGUAUGAAGAAGGCCUUCGGGUUGUAAAGUACUUUCAGCGGGGAGGAAGGGAGUAAAGUUAAUACCUUUGCUCAUUGACGUUACCCGCAGAAGAAGCACCGGCUAACUCCGUG